This 381-nucleotide ribosomal RNA is filed under the name uncultured bacterium. RNAcentral describes it as "bacterial SSU rRNA". It matches the Rfam family "Bacterial small subunit ribosomal RNA", at positions 354 to 752 of the family's 1533-position model. The record is from RNAcentral.
UCGGGUAAUUUUGGGCAAUGGGCGAAAGCCUGACCCAGCAACGCCGCGUGAAGGAUGAAGUAUUUCGGUAUGUAAACUUCGAAAGAAUAGGAAGAAUAAAUGACGGUACUAUUUAUAAGGUCCGGCUAACUACGUGCCAGCAGCCGCGGUAAUACGUAGGGACCAAGCGUUGUUCGGAUUUACUGGGCGUAAAGGGCGCGUAGGCGGUGUGUCAAGUCAGUUGUGAAAUCUCCGAGCUUAACUCGGAACGGUCAACUGAUACUGUCACACUAGAGUACAGAAGGGGCAAUCGGAAUUCUUGGUGUAGCGGUGAAAUGCGUAGAUAUCAAGAGGAACACCUGAGGUGAAGACGGGUUGCUGGGCUGACACUGACGCUGAGGC